GUCUUACUCAUAGUCGAGUUCUCAUUUUGUUGUUGUCGUCGAAUUCGAAAGCUUUACAAUCGGACAAACCUGAAGAAAUUCCAGAUUCCUCGUCGAAUGAUUUCCAGCACGGCGACAAUGGCGAUCAAGGCUUGUCUGUGGAUAAAUGGAGCUUCUCUGAAACCUAAUACCGAUUGCAUCCAAGCGAGUCUCAGCAAGAUAUUCAGUCCCUGCAACCAAGAUUCGGAAGAUUGUUAUUAUCGGCUAAAACAUGUCAUGGAAAGCUAGGUUUUCAAGAAUUUGCGGUAUGUUCUUACAAUUGCUACAUAGUAAACAUUUUUGUUGGAUA
Cucurbita maxima (winter squash) is the source of this 328-nucleotide long non-coding RNA. RefSeq lists it as uncharacterized. The record is from RefSeq and is a predicted model, not a curated record. The transcript is spliced from 2 exons. Lineage: Eukaryota; Viridiplantae; Streptophyta; Magnoliopsida; Cucurbitales; Cucurbitaceae.